This 85-nucleotide transfer RNA is filed under the name Felis catus (domestic cat). It matches the Rfam family "tRNA". Rfam says of the family: Transfer RNA (tRNA) molecules are approximately 80 nucleotides in length. Their secondary structure includes four short double-helical elements and three loops (D, anti-codon, and T loops). Further hydrogen bonds mediate the characteristic L-shaped molecular structure. tRNAs have two regions of fundamental functional importance: the anti-codon, which is responsible for specific mRNA codon recognition, and the 3' end, to which the tRNAs corresponding amino acid is attached (by aminoacyl-tRNA synthetases). tRNAs cope with the degeneracy of the genetic code in two manners: having more than one tRNA (with a specific anti-codon) for a particular amino acid; and 'wobble' base-pairing, i.e. permitting non-standard base-pairing at the 3rd anti-codon position. Lineage: Eukaryota; Metazoa; Chordata; Mammalia; Carnivora; Felidae. The record is from Rfam by way of RNAcentral.
GCCUGGGUGGCUCAGUUGGUUAAGCCUCCGACUUUGACUCGGAUCAUGAUCCCGUGGUUCAUGGGUUCAAGCCCCGCAUCGGGCU